CCUACGGGUGGCAGCAGUGGGGAAUAUUGGACAAUGGGGGGAACCCUGAUCCAGCCAUGCCGCGUGUGUGAAGAAAGCCCUCGGGUUGUAAAGCACUUUCAGUGAGGAAGAACGCCUGGUGGUUAAUACCCAUCAGGAAAGACAUCACUCACAGAAGAAGCACCGGCUAACUCCGUGCCAGCAGCCGCGGUAAUACGGAGGGUGCGAGCGUUAAUCGGAAUUACUGGGCGUAAAGCGCGCGUAGGUGGCUUGAUAAGCCGGUUGUGAAAGCCCCGGGCUCAACCUGGGAACGGCAUCCGGAACUGUCAAGCUAGAGUGCAGGAGAGGAAGGUAGAAUUCCCGGUGUAGCGGUGAAAUGCGUAGAGAUCGGGAGGAAUACCAGUGGCGAAGGCGGCCUUCUGGACUGACACUGACACUGAGGUGCGAGAGCGUGGGUAGCAAACAGGAUUAGAUACCCUAGUAGUC
Molecule: ribosomal RNA, 465 nt
Filed under: Vreelandella stevensii
Lineage: Bacteria; Pseudomonadati; Pseudomonadota; Gammaproteobacteria; Oceanospirillales; Halomonadaceae
Description: partial 16S ribosomal RNA
Rfam family: Bacterial small subunit ribosomal RNA
Source: RNAcentral